AGUAGUGUAGCUCAGUGAUAGAGCACUUGCCUAGCAAGCAUGAGGCCGUGGGUUGAAUCUUCAGCACUGCAG
RNAcentral lists this transfer RNA (72 nucleotides) under Ictidomys tridecemlineatus (thirteen-lined ground squirrel). RNAcentral describes it as "Spermophilus tridecemlineatus (thirteen-lined ground squirrel) tRNA". It matches the Rfam family "tRNA". From Rfam's summary of the family: Transfer RNA (tRNA) molecules are approximately 80 nucleotides in length. Their secondary structure includes four short double-helical elements and three loops (D, anti-codon, and T loops). Further hydrogen bonds mediate the characteristic L-shaped molecular structure. tRNAs have two regions of fundamental functional importance: the anti-codon, which is responsible for specific mRNA codon recognition, and the 3' end, to which the tRNAs corresponding amino acid is attached (by aminoacyl-tRNA synthetases). tRNAs cope with the degeneracy of the genetic code in two manners: having more than one tRNA (with a specific anti-codon) for a particular amino acid; and 'wobble' base-pairing, i.e. permitting non-standard base-pairing at the 3rd anti-codon position. The record is from Rfam by way of RNAcentral. Lineage: Eukaryota; Metazoa; Chordata; Mammalia; Rodentia; Sciuridae.